UAUGUUAGUAGGUUGCUUGCACGGUUUUCUUUUCCGUACUAGGAAUAUCGGUAUCUUUUUUAGAUUUGUUUAUUAUCGCACUAUAUGAUUGUUUCUUUCACUUUGUUAUAGUUCGCGUAUAUUCUACUCUCCCCGAAUUUCAAGAAAAAGAUAAAAAUGGUCUCCUAACUAUGAUAGUAGGUUCAAAAUAGUCCCUUAACUAUACACUUAACGGUUUUAGUCCUUUAAGUUUGUUACAAGUUAACAAAAAUGGUCUCUUAACUAUGAGAGUAGAUUCAAAAUAGUCCCUUAACUAUGAACUUAACGGUUUUGGUCCUUUAUUUGUCAUAAGUUGACAAAAUGGUCCCUUAACUAUGAGGGUUGGUUAAAAAUAGUCCCUUAAGUAUGCUUAACGGUUUGAUAAUGUCAAAAAAUGGUGUCUCGAAACACAAAGACCGACGUACUCUAUCGAUUAAAACUGAGGGACUCCAUCGACUAAAUAAAAUACACUAGACUUUAGAAAUAGCAAAAACUAAAAAAGUUGUCACUACCAAAAACAAGCAAAAAAAACGAUGGACGGAAAACGAUGGAUAAAAUCGAGGGACACUAUUUUUUUUUUUAAUUUUUAUUGUUUUUUACGAAAACCAACGGAAGUCCAUCGGUUAUUUUUGAGAAAAAAUGCGCGGAAACUAUUUUUUUUUUUAAAAAAGAACCACUACACUGGAAGUAUUUAGUUUUCUCUAGUUUUCAGUAAAAACGAAUCUAGUGUAUUUUACUUAGCGAAUGGACUCCCUCGAUUUUAAUCGACAGAAUCUGUCGGUCUUUGUGCUCCGAGACACUAUUUUUUGACAUUAUCAAGUCUGUAGGUUUUUCCUCAGUUUUUUUCUAUAACCGACUAACGUCCGUCGGUUUUGUCCCGAGUUAUUUGAUCGAUCUAGAGUUCUCACUAAUUUUUCUCUUUUUUUCAUAGUUCUCGUCAAAUCUAACCAAUAGAGUUCGAUGAAUAUUUUGUCGAGACUAAAACUGUCAACUUAUGGCAAACUUAAAGGACCAAAACCGUUAAGUGCAUAGUUAAGGGACUAUUUUGAACCUACUCUCAUAGUUAAGGGACCGUUUUUGUUAACUUGUAACAAACUUAAAGGACUAAAACUGUUAAGUGCAUUGUUAAGGGACUAUUUUGAACCUACUAUCAUAGUUAAGGGACCAUUUUUGUCCUUUUCUCCCGAAUUUCAUUUGGUUGGAUUAUACUGAUUAUGUUGUUGUUGAGCCGAGGGUCAUAUUGGAAAGAACCUCUCUAUCUCUAUGAGGUAAGAAUAAAUCGCGUACACUCUAUCUUCUCCAAAUUCUACGUACAUUCUACUCUAUACUGAAUAUGUUAGUUGUUGGUCUUGGAUUUCUGAAAUAAAAAAUACUUCAUUCUUGACCUGACCUUAUUAAUGCUCUUGAAUAUAUUAGCCUGAAAUGUAUCUGCUAUUUUCCUGUGUGUAAAUAUAAUAUUCAUUAUCACGCUUGACCUCCUUUGACUAACUUAUGUGUUCUUUACAUCUUUCAUUCAGCACAGGUAGAUGAUUGGUAUUGAUUAUCAGGAAGUGGAUUUGCUUAAGCAUGCGCCACCGGAAACAAAAAUCUUUCUAGUUUCUUAGAAGAAUGGAAGAGCAAAAUAUCUCAUCACCAAACUGCGGACUGAGUUGAUAAUCGGAUUAAGGGCAUCAGUAAUGUGCUUAACACCCCGUACCUUUAACCUAAGCUUUAAUCAUGAUCCUAGACUUAGAAAAUUCGAUAAAGAAUGUGGGAAUUGAAAAUUCCCUAUUCAGUUGUAAGAUAGGGGUUUACGCCCAUGAACAGUGACCGUAUUUCAAUAUACGGGCCGUAAUUCAAGUCGCAAACUGGUACCAAGGAUUUCUGAGCAUUCUGGAAUUUGACAUUUGGAUAUCAAAUGAUUAAAUACGGACCGUAUUUCAAAAUACGGCCCGUGUUUCAAAACGUAUUUGGAAUUUGGAAAAACUUCCUUGAUGAAAGUUGUAGAGCUUUGAAAUAACUUUCCAACGGUAUAUUAUGGGGGUCAAACGGACAUCUGUGCAAAGAGUUAUGACCAUUUUACUGAAGAGACGCAAUGCAGUUCGUAUUUCAAAAUACGGCCAGUAUUUAACUAGGCGGAAAUUUCAAUUUUCCAGAACAGUAUAUAUUCAUCCAUAUCAGUUCAAAUCAUUAUUUUUCAUUCCUUCAAGCCCUAGAAUGACCUCCUACCCUCCUCCAUCAUCAAG
This is a long non-coding RNA of Lycium barbarum (goji berry), 2243 nucleotides long. RefSeq lists it as uncharacterized. The transcript has 3 exons. Lineage: Eukaryota; Viridiplantae; Streptophyta; Magnoliopsida; Solanales; Solanaceae. The record is from RefSeq and is a predicted model, not a curated record.